GAAGGGGGCUAGCGUUGUUCGGAAUUACUGGGCGUAAAGCGCGCGCAGGCGGUCUUCCAAGUCAGUGGUGAAAGCCUGGAGCUCAACUCCAGAACUGCCAUUGAAACUGUUAGACUUGAGUACGAGAGAGGUGAGUGGAAUUCCCAGUGUAGAGGUGAAAUUCGUAGAUAUUGGGAAGAACACCAGUGGCGAAGGCGGCUCACUGGCUCGUAACUGACGCUCAGGCGCGACAGCGUGGGGAUCAAACAGGAUUAGAUACCCUGGUAGUCCACGCCGUAAACGAUGAAUGCUAGCCGUUGGAUAGCUUGCUAUUCAGUGGCGCAGCKAACGCAUUAAGCAUUCCGCCUGGGGAGUACGGCC
This 360-nucleotide ribosomal RNA is filed under the name uncultured bacterium. RNAcentral describes it as "bacterial SSU rRNA". It matches the Rfam family "Bacterial small subunit ribosomal RNA", at positions 527 to 887 of the family's 1533-position model. The record is from RNAcentral.